Molecule: long non-coding RNA, 213 nt
Filed under: Pelobates cultripes (western spadefoot toad)
Lineage: Eukaryota; Metazoa; Chordata; Amphibia; Anura; Pelobatidae
Source: RNAcentral
GUCUGCGCUGUGCUCUUGCAGUCAUCUUUACAGGACGGCCACUCAUAGGGAGAGUAGCAGCAGUGCUGAACUUUCUCCAUUUAUAGACAAUUUGUCUUACCGUGGACAGAAAGGAGAUACUUUUAUAACCCUUUCCAGCUUUAUGCAAGUCAACAAUUCUUAAUUGUAGGUCUUCUGAGAGCUCUUUUGUGCGAGGCAUCAUUCACAUCAGGC